Molecule: long non-coding RNA, 219 nt
Filed under: Elaeis guineensis (African oil palm)
Lineage: Eukaryota; Viridiplantae; Streptophyta; Magnoliopsida; Arecales; Arecaceae
Description: long non-coding RNA (EGUI_LNC058638)
Source: RNAcentral
UCUUCUCCAUGCCUCCUCUUCUUUUUUGUCUUUCCCAUGCCCAAGGGUUAGGUGUCCCACUCUUCUACAUGCCAAAGGUGAAGGUAAUCUUCUUCCAGAGUGAAGAACAAGAAGAAAAAGACUGCAAAUCAAGGAGUUGAUUCUACAGUCUAGAUCAAGGAGUUGAUCGAGAUUCUAAAGGCUAAGAUUUUACUUGGAGAAGAAGAAUCUACUACAAGA